CCAGACUCCUACGGGAGGCAGCAGUAGGGAAUCUUCCGCAAUGGGCGAAAGCCUGACGGAGCAACGCCGCGUGAGUGAAGAAGGAUUUCGGUUCGUAAAGCUCUGUUGUUAGGGAAGAAUGGAUAUGUAGUAACUAUACAUGUAAGAGACGGUACCUAACCAGAAAGCCACGGCUAACUACGUGCCAGCAGCCGCGGUAAUACGUAGGUGGCAAGCGUUGUCCGGAAUUAUUGGGCGUAAAGCGCGCGCAGGUGGUUUAAUAAGUCUGAUGUGAAAGCCCACGGCUCAACCGUGGAGGGUCAUUGGAAACUGUUAAACUUGAGUGCAGGAGAGAAAAGUGGAAUUCCUAGUGUAGCGGUGAAAUGCGUAGAGAUUAGGAGGAACACCAGUGGCGAAGGCGGCUUUUUGGCCUGUAACUGACACUGAGGCGCGAAAGCGUGGGGAGCAAACAGGAUUAGAUACCCUGGUAGUCCACGCCGUAAACGAUGAGUGCUAAGUGUUGGUCUCAUAAGAGAUCAGUGCUGCAGCUAACGCAUUAAGCACUCCGCCUGGGGAGUACGACCGCAAGGUUGAAACUCAAAGGAAUUGACGGGGGCCCGCACAAG
Molecule: ribosomal RNA, 605 nt
Filed under: uncultured bacterium
Lineage: Bacteria
Description: bacterial SSU rRNA
Rfam family: Bacterial small subunit ribosomal RNA
Source: RNAcentral